GCUAGGUAUUUUUGACCGACAUUAGACAUGACUAUUUUUAGUCGACAUUGACUAAGUUUUUACAGUCGACAUCCACUAGAGUUUUUUCGAUCGACAUCGGUCAAAGCAAUUUUUUAGCCAACAUCAAUCAAGGCUAUUUUAUAGCCGAUGUUGGGUAGGGUUUUUUAUUCGACAUCAGUCAGGGCUAUUUUUUAGCCAACUUCGACUAGAGAUUUUUCAGCCAACAUUGACUAAUGAUGUUUUUCAGUCGACAUCGGGUAGGUUCUAUUGGUCGGCAUCGACCAAGCUAUUUUUUAGUCGAUACUAGAUAGAUUUUUUUGUCAACGCCUGCUAGGAUUUUUUAGGUUGACGUUGGCUAAAAAUAGUCUUGGUCAAUGUCGUUCGAAAAAACCCUAGU
This 397-nucleotide microRNA precursor is filed under the name Glycine max (soybean). Its description in RNAcentral is "miR1517 stem-loop (gma-MIR1517)". Lineage: Eukaryota; Viridiplantae; Streptophyta; Magnoliopsida; Fabales; Fabaceae. The record is from miRBase by way of RNAcentral.